Molecule: ribosomal RNA, 432 nt
Filed under: uncultured Pelagibacterales bacterium
Lineage: Bacteria; Pseudomonadati; Pseudomonadota; Alphaproteobacteria; Candidatus Pelagibacterales
Description: bacterial SSU rRNA
Rfam family: Bacterial small subunit ribosomal RNA
Source: RNAcentral
GGGCUGCAGUGGGGAAUCUUGCACAAUGGGCGAAAGCCUGAUGCAGCGAUGCCGCGUGAGUGAAGAAGGCCCUUGGGUUGUAAAGCUCUUUUGUCGGGAAAGAUAAUGACUGUACCCGAAGAAUAAGGUCCGGCUAACUUCGUGCCAGCAGCCGCGGUAAUACGAAGGGACCUAGCGUAGUUCGGAAUUACUGGGCGUAAAGAGUAUGUAGGCGGCUAGAUAAGUUAAUUGUGAAAGCCCAAAGCUUAACUUUGGAAUUGCAAUUAAAACUAUUUAGCUAGAGUAUGAUAGAGGAAAGCGGAAUACAUAGUGUAGAGGUGAAAUUCGUAGAUAUUAUGUAGAACACCAGUUGCGAAGGCGGCUUUCUGGAUCAUUACUGACGCUGAGAUACGAAAGUAUGGGUAGCGAAGAGGAUUAGAUACCCCAGUAGUC